RNAcentral lists this long non-coding RNA (6040 nucleotides) under Gallus gallus (chicken). Lineage: Eukaryota; Metazoa; Chordata; Aves; Galliformes; Phasianidae. The record is from RNAcentral.
GCACUCUGGGAGCAGGCUGGGACUCGCGGCCUUGCUGCCAUCUCCUGCUCCUUCAGCCCAUCUGCGCUGGGGCAGCCGCGCAGCACUGGGCCUCACUGGGCCCUUCCCGGGUGUGGGGUGGGCACAGGGUGCUGUCCACAGCCUGCAGAGCUGCUGCUGCUCAGAGCUGCUCCCUCGUGAUGCAGGGCUGCUGGGGGCACUGCCACAGCAGGAUCCGGCCCCUCGUCCUGGGCACUCAGCUUGGCCCAGGGGUCUGAUGAAGCGCUGCUGGAUGCUCAAGAGCAGAGGAUCUAUCAACUGCAGACCAAGCAGAGGCAGAGGCAGGCAGAACCGGAGCAAUAAUGCAGCCAGAUCCAGCAGCUCAGCCAGGAGCUGGAGGCCACCGUCAGCUGCAGGAGGAGGCUCGGACACAGUGUGGCUGAGGAAAAUCACAACACCAGCUGCAUGUAAGAAACUCCUGGAAAGAAGAACAAAGCCAUCUGUUCUCCAUGUCCACGAAGGCAUGCACAAGAACUAAUGGGUGUACCCUACAUCAAGAAAGAUUCAGGUUAGGAACAGCGUCUAAUGGAGAGGAGAACAAAGCAGGUGAACAGACUGCAAGGGGCCUGAGUGUUCUGCGUCACAGGAGAUCUUCAAGGACAGAUAAACAGAAGACAAGGCACCUGUAGGUUCCCCCGUCAUAGAACUGGAAGACAGGCCAUCAGCCUCUUGAGAUUCAUGCCAGCCUUGCUCACUUCCUAAACCCAGCUUUGUUUGUACCCAGAAACUCAUUUGUCUUCUUCAAAGCCCCACCACAGGGUCUCCUUUAGCAUUCAUAUGUUACCAACAUAUCACUUGCCAGGGUGAUUCUUCUCUCUAGAAAAGUGACUGCACGCUUGCUUCCUACCAUGGUUCACCUAACCUCCAAUGAGACUCAGUACCUGCUUUGUGUUGUAAAUGGUGUCCCAUCUUGAAAUGCACUGCCUGUGUUCCUGCACUGGAUAGUAGUGUUGAUCUGUGGGAGUAUUCUUUCCUCUUUCUUGGAACCUCAUUCUUAUGCUUCUGCAGGCUUGUUCACAGGAGACUGGCUGAAGAGCACACUCAUUGCUGUUUUCCCAGGUAAAUUCAGUCUUGCUUCCUCACUAGUGGUGUUCCUUUGGCUCUUUUCUCGGGGAACGGGGUUCUCUUUGUACUGAUGCUGUGGGUUGGAGGACUCAAUGCACAGUCUGUCCUCUCCUGGCUCUCUGGAAGGGCAGACAGAGCUGCCCGAUCCCUCGUCCAGGAGCCCUAGCACUCACCUACGUAUACUGGGAUGAUGACUUGGUGCUCCUUCCUGUGUUCCAAAACAGGCCACACCUGGGAUGGUCUUGGGUAGAGAUAUGUUUCAUAGGGUGAGCAGGGGCCACAGUGCAGUGGGCUUGAGACCUGGUGCCAGGGCCUUAACUGAACUGGGCAAGGAUCAGGCAAUUGUGCUGCUCAACAGAACUGCACAGCUGACAGUCUCUGAACUGCUCUUUAGCAAUACAUCUAGCAAUCUGUGGUGCUUUAGCUGGAGCUGGUGGGUGCCUUGUUCCUUGAGUUGCUCUCAGGAACUUGCAUGUGGAAAGAAAGCUGGAUUUUCACCUUUUACUACCUACUUAUCUGGCCAUAGGUUACCCAGUAGUCAGAGCAUGUGCCUUCUCAUAUACUGAAGAGAGCAAGCAAAGCCUGGAGGUUGUUGAUGGGUGACAAAGGCUCUGAUACAUACAUCUGUAUGACAUGUGCUGCUGUGCCUCAGGCUUUGGCUUGAGCAUUGAAGUUCCACCCUUGGUAGUAAACAUACGAGUAGAUGAGGCAGAGAUGGGAGUGUAGAUUUGCUAUCAGAACUGGUGGAUUUAAUUUCCAUUCUUAGCUGUAUGCAGUUUCCUAUAUGUGCUGCUUUGCAAAUGAGUUGCACAAUAGCUAUCAAAGACCACCUAGAAACAAGAUCAGCUUGAUGCCACUUAGUUCUGUUGCACAGUGGUGGUCCAGGCAAUGUGAAGGUGUUGGUCAGACCCAUGGAAAGGUCUCACCUCUGCUCCCUGAUGCCUGUAGGAGUCUACUGCUCUUUGCCUGCCUAGUGUUUGAGCGCAGUCAUGGUGCUGGAGGAGCAGAAUUGCCUGACUAUCAACAGUUGACAUAUGAGGUCUCAGUAACCAAAAGCGGUGCAGUUUUCUUAAUAAGAUGUUGCUCACUCACAGAGCCUUACACCUGUCUGUGGGGCAGCAGCCAUUUGGAUCAUAGGUCUCAGUGGGAGGGUGGAAUCACCACACACAUAUCAUAUACCAGGUCACACAGCAGCUCCCACAGACACCCCAGCACUGCCAAUAGCUUUUAUGGGGGCUAGAAGCACAGCCAGAACAGGGAACUGCAAGUGACAUGGGAAGAUGAAAUGUGUAAUGUAUGCAGACACUGAGGCGGAACCCCACAGGCACCUGGACCUGAGAGCCAGCUCCACAACACAGAUGCUAGAGAGAAUAAAGGAAAUGAUGGAGCACCAACUAAAAUGGUCUGCAAGGCUGAUUUCUCUCCAUGUAGUUUCUGAAGGAGCAGUCUUUGGUGCUGUGGAGAAAUGGGCAGCCUCCAGGCUGUGAGGUUAAUGCAGAGCCACGGCUGUUUGUAUAGCUGCAGAGUCUUUAAGAGAGACUUGGGAAAACUAGCCUGGAUUCCAAUGAAUAUUUACAAUUACACUGCUCCAAAGCUGAAUCCAAUCACAGCACUGCAGUAUGCAGGCUUUGUGCAUCAAAAGAAAAUGAGAGGAAAGCAGGAAAGAUGGAGCUGUGGAGCUGCCUUUGGAGAGACCUCCCUGCUUGUGGCAGAACUAAAAUGCUUUAUUUCUGAUAGAAGCAAUUUAUUCUUUGGGCAUUUUGCUUGAUAUUAGAAAGUUCCUGGCUGUUUUUUGAAGUGAGAGUUUUCAGUAGAUGGUCUUUAAAUCAGAGUGAAAGAAAGAAAUAGGGAGUGUUGUAGUCUAUAAUUCUGAUAUUGCACUAACAAACUGGAAAUAAGGGAGCAUUUCCAAGCUAGAGCAGAGACACUCCCCUUACUUUCCACUUGCUGAGUCUGAGGUUACCAUGUUCAAGAGGCCUGGGCAGAGCUUCCCUUGUUAAAAUCAUGCUCCUGAUAUGAUAUUUGACUGAUCACCAGGCUCUGCAUUAAACUGGAUGAUCUAGCAGAAGAAGGAACACAAAAUGCUGGAUGAACGUUCAUUGAAGCUCGGUAUUGACCUUUUCUUUAUUUCAGCAGAAGAUAGAAAAAUGUGUCAGGAAAUCACUGCAUGCAAAGGAGUUGGAGGAUUUGUGAGUGCAAGACCCCUGCAGAAAAUGGUGUGCAGCAGAGUAGGAAGUGCAUGGUGAAACAGAGGUACUGCUCAAGUUGACAAAAGGAGCAACACCAAAAGCUCACUUGACUGUACUGCCAGCUGAUCAGCUCUUCUGCAUGCGGCCAGGGCAAAUCGGCUUGGGCUCUCAGACUUGUAUGCCUUGUGUUGGCAGCUGGUUAAACUGUAAGAAAGAGCUGUACUAAUGGAAGGGGUUGCUUUACAUCUGGACAUCUGGAUGCUUUAAGACCUAUGGUGUGCACAUCCAUUCAUACACUGGGAGGUUUUCCAGAACUCUGACACAAUGGAGCAGUUGUGGAAGACAGCAGGUAGGAGAUGGAACAAAAGCACAGGUCAGGCUGGGGACAGAAAUUAUGCUUUUUAUUCAGACAUUGCAGGGCAUGCACAGGACAUCAGGCAUGUUGCUAAAACAUGGCUGCAGCACCAAAUGCUGCCUGCUGCCCUAACACACAGGGGCUGUGAAUAACUCAUGGCUUGUUGUGGUCCUGGAGUACAAAAACACCACUACUUUUCUUUAAUUACAAAUAGUUAAGGUAUAUCCUUCCAUUCUACCAGGCAGAUGUCCUGAAGCACCAUGGCAGCAUCAGAGCAGGUGCUAUGUGAGAAGGCAUGUUGUGAAUGAAGCUACAAGAACGUGCACUUACAUUUACACCGGGUUUAUUUACAAGCACACCUCACCUGGGACAGUGACAUCUGAAGGGCUAGCCUGCUCCAUCCCCAUGGUCCCAGCAGGCAGCAUGUCUCUACACCAGAGCAGAAGACAGCAUGGUGCUGUGUUCAGACUGUGCUAAUCCUGCCAUGUGUUUUGAAGAUGAUGUGUUUCCUGUUGCCUUUCACCUUGUGGCUGCACAGAUCCCUUCUGCUGGAUGGCAAUCUUAAAGGAUGCUGAUGGGAAAUCCCAGGAAGCUGCUCUCUGAUCUAAGUCACGCUGCUGGCAGAGGGAAGUCUCCAACACAUGCAGGCAUGGCACAGGGUGUUCCCCGCCGCUUGGCACAUACUGCAGUCGAUAGCCCUCAGCAGGAUCUUGCAUUCAAUAUUAUGCUGUCUAAGAGGCUUAAAAUUGACUGCAAAGCUUCGGUACAACUACAAAAAAAUCUUGUUUUCAGUUUCGCCUCUGGUGGAUUGCUCCAGAAUGAGACAGAGCAACUUGGUAAUUUAUUCUUGGAAUAGGGAUAGUACAUCUGCACUGGAGUAUUUGGAAUUGCAUUAUGUAAUAUGAAAAGCAGUCAUUCAUUUGAACUCCCCUUGUGGGAACAGCAGCUGCCCAGACAAAUUCCAUGUGAAGAUGGGAAAUGUGACAGAAAUCAGACAGAGCCUGCUUCUGUGUGCUGCAGAAACAACUGAGCAGUUUUGCGCCCACUAGGAAUGCCUUGCAUUCUAUCUUGCUCUCCACAGCUUGUUGUAGGUUCUUAUACCAGCUCCUGACAGACCCCCAUUUGCUGCUGCAAAAAACCAUAUAGUUGCUAGUGUCAGACAAAUGCUGCUGUCAGAGCAGAACUUGACAUAACAGCCCAUUUAAGCCACCAGCCCAGGAGCAGGAAUGGCUGUGGAGAGCCACUGCAGCCCUCCUCACCCUUGCUUAAGCAUCCUGCCUUGCUCUGAGCUGCUCCAGCGGGCAGAACUCAGGAGUGUGCUGGCUCUGAUGGUCCUCGCUCAGUGCAGUGUGUGCCACACAACCCCAUUGGCUGUGACAAAACAUGGUGCCUCUGGGUCCCUGCCUUCCCUCCAGGAAGCGCCUGCAGUCCAGCACAGUGUCUCCUGCUUUAUGUUCCCCAGACAAGCUGUUAUCACCGCAGACAGCUCUGCCACUGCUGAGAGUAUCAUUUGAAAGAGGACUAUCAAUGCAGGUGACCUGAAUCCUGAUGUGGCAGUGCAGACGUGGGGUCAGCAGUACACCACUGCAACUCUUUAAUGCUGACUUUUUGGAUACAGGGCAGGAUGUGUCAGGAUCAGUCGUUGCACAUGAUCCUGGAGCACUGAAGAAAAGCAAGAACAACUGUUCGCAAUUAGCUCCAAGUAUGUAUUGCCCACCAUCUUAUCUCUGAUAGUGGUCAAGAGCUAUUAUUGUGGGCAGUGCGAGAAGGGGGCAUAGCUACUGCAGUAGCAGUACCACCCAGAAUACUUGAUGAUAUGAAGCUCAGAGGCCUCGGAAACAAAAAUAGGGUCUUCUAUUUAACCAGUGUGGGUGGAUUUCUUUUUCUCCCACAAUGAUAUUUAACUUCUUUUUGAAUGCACAUAAACCUCAAUGACCCACUGUAUCCUCUGUUAAGCAGUUUGACACUGCAUAGUGCAUAUUAAAAAAAAAACAACUGCUUUUUGUUUUGUAGUCACUACCUCCUAAUUUAUGGGGCACUGAUGGUUCUUAUAUCAAAGGGACAAUGAGAAACCACACUGAAGUCAAACUCUGUCUGCCAAACUUGAUUUCAUAAUCCUGUCACACUUUUCUUCAGCCAUCUCUUCUCUGGGCUAAAGAGACUUUCUACUUUUCCUCAUAUGGAAGAUAUUCUUUGUAUUUGAUUUGCCUUGUUGCUCUUCUCUGAAACCCUCCCAACUCUAUUUUUCUUGAGAGAAGCCAACCAGAGUUCCAUAUGGUAAUCACAAUGCAGUCUCCACUAUGGCUCUGUUCAGUGGCAUAUCUCUGAUCUGUUCUCUCUUAUUUUCCUAAUAAUUCUUAACAGUCAGUUUGCCUUUUGGACUGCUCCUGGG